Molecule: ribosomal RNA, 253 nt
Filed under: uncultured bacterium
Lineage: Bacteria
Description: partial 16S ribosomal RNA
Rfam family: Bacterial small subunit ribosomal RNA
Source: RNAcentral
UACGUAGGGCGCAAGCGUUAUCCGGAAUUAUUGGGCGUAAAGAGCUCGUAGGCGGCUUGUCGCGUCGACUGUGAAAACCCGCGGCUCAACUGCGGGCCUGCAGCCGAUACGGGCAGGCUAGAGUUCGGUAGGGGAGACUGGAAUUCCUGGUGUAGCGGUGAAAUGCGCAGAUAUCAGGAGGAACACCGGCGGCGAAGGCGGCGUCCUGGACCUGGCCUGACGCUCAGGAGCGAAAGCGUGGGGAGCGAUCCGG